Molecule: ribosomal RNA, 289 nt
Filed under: Enterobacteriaceae bacterium
Lineage: Bacteria; Pseudomonadati; Pseudomonadota; Gammaproteobacteria; Enterobacterales; Enterobacteriaceae
Description: partial 16S ribosomal RNA
Rfam family: Bacterial small subunit ribosomal RNA
Source: RNAcentral
UCGGGAACUCAAAGGAGAGUGCCAGAGAUAAAAUGGAGGAAGGUGGGGAUAAUGUCAAGUCUUCAUGGCCCUUACGAGUAGGGCUACACCCGUGCUGCAAUGGCAUAUACAAAGAGAAGUGACCUCGCGAGAGCAAAAGGACCUCAUAAAGUAUGUCGUAGUACGGAGAGGAGUUUGCAACUUGAGUCCUCGAAGUCGGAAUUGCUAGUAAUGGUGGAUCAGAAAGUCACGGUGAAUACGUUUCCGGGCCUUGUACAGACCUCCCGUCACACCCUCCGAGUGGGUUCUU